AUCAAAUGCCUUGAGGUAGAGGUCUUCAAAUUCCAGCUCAAAAUUCCACAAGAAAUCUAAUUUUCCUUUUCAUUUAGCUUCAAAUUAAUUCCUGCAUUCAAAUACCCGAAAAAACACAAAAAAGUGUAUAUACAAAAAUAGGAAAACCAUAGAAUUUCACUGUUUCAUUGAGCCUCAAUCCACUGUCAAGUGAUAGCUUCCAAAAUUUUGUCUCAUGGCUUGAUUUGGGUCUGUUUUUUGAGCCUUGGAAAUUAUUCCCCCAAAGACAGCAAUCUCCAGUAGUUUUAUAUCUGAAACAACUAUAGUUCAAUUCUCUAGCUUAUUUCGAAACCAAAAAAGACUUGAACUCUGGUAUUUCUGCUCAAUAUAUGCAAUCUGAAGAUGUUUGGAUUCACUGGUAUUGGUUCGAGUCAGAUGGUUUGUCAUUCACUGAGUGUGUUGGGUUGAUUUGUUGAUACUUCUUGGUUUUAUUGGGUUGCUGUUGAUAACUGUUAUUGCUGCUGAUCUUUUCCUCUUCUUAUUGCUCUCUAAUUUCCAGGUAUUAGCCUCUCCCCUGAUGUAUUGGUGCUGAUGUGAAGUGGAAAUACAAUAAAAUGUUUACUCUUCUGCUUCUCGAUCCUUGUCUGUUUGGGUUGAUGGGAUGAUGUUUAAUAGUUUAGAUACCAUAGAUUAAUGUAACUUAGUCUUAGUUUACAUAUGAGUGCAUAACUGAAUUGAGGAUGGACUGUAAAUGGACUAUUAAAUGCAUUGAUUUCAUCUAUAGAUACAUUACUCAUUUAAACUGAUUUGAUAUACACGUUAGCCUAUUUUACUGAUUCAUUUGCAAGUUCAGUCUGUAGGAAUUCAUCAUAAUACACAUUGAUUUCUUGGUUGUUAAAUUGGCAAAACAAGAUGUUAGAUUCUC
Molecule: long non-coding RNA, 904 nt
Filed under: Nicotiana benthamiana
Lineage: Eukaryota; Viridiplantae; Streptophyta; Magnoliopsida; Solanales; Solanaceae
Description: long non-coding RNA (NBEN_LNC031351)
Source: RNAcentral